CUUAGAUCUCACCCACUCCACUCCCUCCACUCUCCCCCCACAGCCGGCGACUUCAUCUCCCACCGCCGCCCCCUCUCAUCCCUUCCCCUCCACUCAUCUGACGUCGAUCAGGUGCGCGCACAACCGGCUCCCUCGUUUCCCACGGCGGCGGCGGCGAGGUGCAUGAACGCGGCGUGCGGCGCGCCCGCCCCGACGGCGGCGGGGGUGGGCGAGUGGAGGAAGGAUUGGCCGCUGUGAUCCGGCGGCUUCGCCGUGCUCUGCGACAAGUGCGGGU
This 274-nucleotide ribosomal RNA is filed under the name Triticum aestivum (bread wheat). Its description in RNAcentral is "partial small subunit ribosomal RNA". Lineage: Eukaryota; Viridiplantae; Streptophyta; Magnoliopsida; Poales; Poaceae. The record is from RNAcentral.